AACAUGGCAACAGACAUGACAACAACAGGUUUUAUAGCUUAUAUAUAAUAUCAAUAUUACAAACUUAAUCAAAGUGAGCUUUUAAAUGUUGGUUAUUUAUUUGCCAUUCAACUAUGUAUAUAGCUUUUCUAAGUGUUUAAAUUUUGGACAACUCUGUUAAUAUAAAAUAUACCCAAUCCAAUAAGCCGGGCUAAGUUGUAGAGCCUUGCAUUUUUCUGACAGCUGCCACGCCCGCCUUCAAGCCAAAUACGCUUUCCAUUAGACAUGGCUAACCUCAUGCCUCAUAAACGUAGCACUAACCCAACAACGGCUUUUGCUACACCUACAUCUAUAUCUACAUCUAUAUCUGGAUCUACAGCGACUUGCAGCUAACAAGGAAUUAUGCGGCAUUGCUUUCUCGCACAGCGACCAUCCAAGCGCACUUCAUUUGCUGUGCACAACCCACAACGAACACGCAUACACACACACGCAAAACCACACCCGCCCAUUCAACCCCGCCUUUCGCUUCUUCUAUGCUUAUGACGUGCCCGCUUGCUCGUUUGCUGCGGCAUUAAAGUUAACAAAUAGAGCUUAAAAACUUGCUGCGUGUACGACAGCCACGCCCCUUUCGCCUGGAGCCUGCCCCCUGCCUGGCUGCCGCACGCCUCAUGUGUGCGGUGCCCUGACUGCGACUGUAUUGGUUUAAUUAGUUUACGCGCUGUAUAAUUAAAAUAUAUAUUGUAAAUCAACUUAAGCUGCUCGCAUUGCCGCAAAA
Molecule: long non-coding RNA, 754 nt
Organism: Drosophila virilis
Lineage: Eukaryota; Metazoa; Arthropoda; Insecta; Diptera; Drosophilidae
Source: RefSeq, a predicted model, not a curated record